GACGAACGCUGGCGGCGUGCUUAACACAUGCAAGUCGAACGGAAAGGCCCUUCGGGGUACUCGAGUGGCGAACGGGUGAGUAACACGUGGGUGAUCUGCCCUGCACUUUGGGAUAAGCCUGGGAAACUGGGUCUAAUACCGAAUAGGACCGCAUGCUUCAUGGUGUGUGGUGGAAAGCUUUUGCGGUGUGGGAUGGGCCCGCGGCCUAUCAGCUUGUUGGUGGGGUAAUGGCCUACCAAGGCGACGACGGGUAGCCGGCCUGAGAGGGUGACCGGCCACACUGGGACUGAAAUACGGCCCAGACUCCUACGGGAGGCAGCAGGGGGGAAUAUUGCACAAUGGGCGCAAGCCUGAUGCAGCGACGCCGCGUGAGGGAUGACGGCCUUCGGGUUGUAAACCUCUUUCAGCAGGGACGAAGCGCAAGUGACGGUACCUGCAGAAGAAGGACCGGCCAACUACGUGCCAGCAGCCGCAGUAA
Molecule: ribosomal RNA, 478 nt
Filed under: uncultured bacterium
Lineage: Bacteria
Description: partial 16S ribosomal RNA
Rfam family: Bacterial small subunit ribosomal RNA
Source: RNAcentral